GUGUGUGUGUGUGCGCGCGCACACGUGCGUGCACGCACGCUUGUGCAGAAUUUUACCUCCCAGAAAUUCAGAAAUGGCUGUGCAGUGAGUUUUGUUUAGUAAGAAGCAAGAGAUGGGGAGCUAAGGGAUAAAUAUUUUGAUGUGUAAGGGCUGUAAACUGUUGAUGCUUAACUUUUACUUAAACCUUUUAUUAAAAGGCUCACACCCACACUUGUGCAGGGAAGGCAGUCUUGGGAAUGAACAGAAAUGAAUAAUUAUCAGACUCUCCAGGGUGCCAAGGGGAUUAGCUUGUCCCAGCUCCAGAACUGAAUUUAAAUAUGCAGAGCAUUGGUGGUUCUGCUCCAGUAAAAGCAGAUCACUUCAGUAGCUUGAGACAUGCCUGGGGAUAAGGGACAUAUCAGCUCUCCUUAUGGGGAAUGGCCUUCCUUCCAGUCGUUGCGCAGGCUCUGCGAGGUGUGUCCCCACAGAUUUGACUUCGACUUCCAGAAAGUAAAGACAUAGAUGAAUUCCUUUAUCCCCUAAAGAGUUCCCCACCCAGAGUCACUUUGCAGUUGCCCAAAUAGAGAGGCUUAUGGUCCUUAGUUCUGAGGGAAAUGCACCAUUUUUAUUUCUUCCAGGUAAAAAGAGAGAUCAACCUUCCAAGAGAAUAUAAACUAAGGAUAAAAACUUCUAAAGCCCCCACCCUUUCUAUUUGCAAAUGCUUUCUUUGCCUGCAAAUGUCACAUAACUGAUUUGGGGUGGUAACAAUAAAAGUCUCAGGGAAGCUAAAGUUUCCAGACCCCCUGAGCACUUUCGUUUUACUCAGCCCUCCUCUUCUAGAGCAUUUGCAGCCUCCAUCUUUGAGAUGUUUUCCUCCUCAUUCUUUAGAGUAAUUUUGCUACUUGACAACUAGACUUAAAGCUGCCAUAGACCCUUAAAAAUCUAAUCUUUGAAAGUGACAGAAAUUCCUUUAUUCCCCAAAGGCUGUUUCUAUUCACCUCUCCCUUGGCUUUGUUUCCUAUGCGUGUGUGAUUUUCUUUUUUUCCUUUUCAUCUCUUUCUUUUAACAUAGUGCUGUGGGUAGAUUUCAAGCAUUCUCUAAAGAACUUGAAUAGAAAAACAGAGUCCUCACCUUUUUUUUUUUUU
RNAcentral lists this long non-coding RNA (1124 nucleotides) under Marmota monax (woodchuck). Lineage: Eukaryota; Metazoa; Chordata; Mammalia; Rodentia; Sciuridae. The record is from RNAcentral.